GUCUAGAUGGGUCAUAUAGAUUAAUCGCCAGGCAUAGGUGAAAAACUAGCAGCAGGUAAAACAAGGGAUAAAGAAAUAAUAAGAAACGGGUGCCACAGUAAGGUAGAGCGCUAUGGGUCUAGACCAGUGGGUUCAACCCACGCCCAUCAUACAAUGGAUACUGCCCCGGCAAUAGAGAAGACUCAUAUCCUGCAUAUCCGUAUCCCACCAGCUCCAAGCCCCAGGAGUGUCCAUGUGACUGUCCUGAUCAGGGUUGCAGUCAAGGAAGGUGGAGAUUCACAAAAGGACCAAGCAUUUGGCACAUAAGCACUUUCCGCGGUAUCCACUUAUGCCUCACCGCUUUUAGGAUUGCAUGGAAGUUUCAAC
Pelobates cultripes (western spadefoot toad) is the source of this 366-nucleotide non-coding RNA. The record is from the annotation of a GenBank genome assembly. NCBI's taxonomy places the organism in Eukaryota, Metazoa, Chordata, Amphibia, Anura, Pelobatidae.